RNAcentral lists this ribosomal RNA (1353 nucleotides) under uncultured bacterium. Its description in RNAcentral is "bacterial SSU rRNA". It matches the Rfam family "Bacterial small subunit ribosomal RNA", at positions 28 to 1381 of the family's 1533-position model. The record is from RNAcentral.
GAUGAACGCUAGCGACAGGCUUAACACAUGCAAGUCGAGGGGCAGCACAGGUAGCAAUACCGGGUGGCGACCGGCGCACGGGUGAGUAACGCGUAUGCAACUUGCCUAUCAGAGGGGGAUAACCCGGCGAAAGUCGGACUAAUACCGCAUGAAGCAGGGGCCCCGCAUGGGGAUAUUUGCUAAAGAUUCAUCGCUGAUAGAUAGGCAUGCGUUCCAUUAGGCAGUUGGCAGGGUAACGGCCCACCAAACCGACGAUGGAUAGGGGUUCUGAGAGGAAGGUCCCCCACAUUGGUACUGAGACACGGACCAAACUCCUACGGGAGGCAGCAGUGAGGAAUAUUGGUCAAUGGGCGUAAGCCUGAACCAGCCAAGUCGCGUGAGGGAUGAAGGUUCUAUGGAUCGUAAACCUCUUUUAUAAGGGAAUAAAGUGCGGGACGUGUCCCGUUUUGUAUGUACCUUAUGAAUAAGGAUCGGCUAACUCCGUGCCAGCAGCCGCGGUAAUACGGAGGAUUCGAGCGUUAUCCGGAUUUAUUGGGUUUAAAGGGAGCGUAGGCGGGUGCUUAAGUCAGUUGUGAAAGUUUGCGGCUCAACCGUAAAAUUGCAGUUGAUACUGGGCGCCUUGAGUGCAGCAUAGGUAGGCGGAAUUCGUGGUGUAGCGGUGAAAUGCUUAGAUAUCACGAAGAACUCCGAUUGCGAAGGCAGCUUACUGGACUGUAACUGACGCUGAUGCUCGAAAGUGUGGGUAUCAAACAGGAUUAGAUACCCUGGUAGUCCACACAGUAAACGAUGAAUACUCGCUGUUGGCGAUACACAGUCAGCGGCCAAGCGAAAGCAUUAAGUAUUCCACCUGGGGAGUACGCCGGCAACGGUGAAACUCAAAGGAAUUGACGGGGGCCCGCACAAGCGGAGGAACAUGUGGUUUAAUUCGAUGAUACGCGAGGAACCUUACCCGGGCUUAAAUUGCAGUGGAAUGUAGUGGGAACAUUACAGCCUUCGGGCCGCUGUGAAGGUGCUGCAUGGUUGUCGUCAGCUCGUGCCGUGAGGUGUCGGCUUAAGUGCCAUAACGAGCGCAACCCUUAUCUAUAGUUACUAUCAGGUCAUGCUGAGGACUCUAUGGAGACUGCCGUCGUAAGAUGUGAGGAAGGUGGGGAUGACGUCAAAUCAGCACGGCCCUUACGUCCGGGGCUACACACGUGUUACAAUGGGGGGUACAGAAGGCAGCUACCUGGCGACAGGAUGCUAAUCCCUAAAACCUCUCUCAGUUCGGAUUGGAGUCUGCAACCCGACUCCAUGAAGCUGGAUUCGCUAGUAAUCGCGCAUCAGCCACGGCGCGGUGAAUACGUUCCCGGGCCU